This 465-nucleotide ribosomal RNA is filed under the name uncultured bacterium. RNAcentral's name for it is "partial 16S ribosomal RNA". It matches the Rfam family "Bacterial small subunit ribosomal RNA", at positions 338 to 795 of the family's 1533-position model. The record is from RNAcentral.
CCUACGGGUGGCAGCAGUGAGGAAUAUUGGUCAAUGGGAGGAAUCCUGACGCAGCGACGCCGCGUGAGGGAUGAAGGUCUUCGGAUCGUAAACCUCUGUCAGCAGGGAAGAACGGUCACUGUGCUAAUCAGCAGUGAAUUGACGGUACCUGCAAAGGAAGCACCGGCUAACUCCGUGCCAGCAGCCGCGGUAAUACGGAGGGUGCGAGCGUUAAUCGGAAUUACUGGGCGUAAAGCGCUCGUAGGCGGUAUGUCACGUCAAGGGUGAAAUCCCCGCGCUCAACGUGGGAACUGCCUUUGAAACUGGCAAACUGGAGUGUGUGAGAGGAUAGUGGAAUUCCAGGUGUAGGAGUGAAAUCCAUAGAUAUCUGGAGGAACAUCAGUGGCGAAGGCGACUAUCUGGCACAUAACUGACGCUGAGGAGCGAAAGCGUGGGUAGCAAACAGGAUUAGAUACCCGGGUAGUC